GACGAACGCUGGCGGCGUGCUUAACACAUGCAAGUCGAACGGCAAGGCCCUGCUUUUGUGGGGUGCUCGAGUGGCGAACGGGUGAGUAACACGUGAGUAACCUGCCCUUGACUUUGGGAUAACUUCAGGACAGUGGGGCUAAUACCGGCUAGGAGCUCUUGCUGCAUGGUGGGGGUUGGAACGUUUCGGCGGUUGGGGGUGGACGCGCGGCUUAUCCGCACGUGUGAGGGGUAGUGGCUUACCACGGCCUGUACGGGUGGCCGGCGCUAUGGGGUGACCGGCGACAAUGCGACUGUGUGACGGCCCAGACUCAUACGGGAGUCAGCAGUGGGGAAUAUCGCACAAUGGGCGGAAGCCUGAUGCAGCCACGCCGCGUGCUGGAUGACGGCCUUCGGCUUGUGAACCUCUUUCGCUUGUGACUAUGCGUGAGUGACGGUAAUGGGUAAAGAAGCACCGGCUAACUACGUG
RNAcentral lists this ribosomal RNA (468 nucleotides) under uncultured bacterium. RNAcentral describes it as "partial 16S ribosomal RNA". It matches the Rfam family "Bacterial small subunit ribosomal RNA", at positions 28 to 507 of the family's 1533-position model. The record is from RNAcentral.